GAAUAGAUUUUAUUAUUAUUUUUGAAUGUUUAAAAAAUUUAAUUAAAAUAAUAAGGUUUUUAUUAAUUGAAAAGAAAAAUUCAUAUUAAUUAUAGAUUAUUAGUACUGUGAAGGAAGUAUAUUAUAUAAUAAAAAGAAAAAAAAUUUUGUACCUUGUGUAUCAGGGUUUAUUAAAAAAUAUAUAUAUAUAUAUAUAUAUAUAUAUAUAUCUCGAAUUUAAAAGGGCUAAAUUAAUAUUUAUAUUAUUGUAUUAUAAAUAUUUAUAAUAUUAAUUUAGUAAUGAAAUGUUAUUCGUUUUUAAAUAUAUCUAGUUUUUUAAGAAAAAAAUUUAAUUUUAAAGUUAAAUUUUAAGUUAUUUUUUUUUAAUAAUUUAAAUUUAAUAUUAAAUAAAUUAAGGGAUAAGCUUUAAUUUAAACUUUUAUAAUUAAUUAAAAAUUAAUAAUUUAUAGAAUUGAAAAUUUUUUUUAUUUAAAGUUUGUAAAAAUUUGUUAUUUAUAAAUUUAAUAUUUUUAUUUAAUUUAAUUUUUUUAUUAAAAUAAAUAAUAUAAUAUUAGAAUUGUUUUAAUGAUGAUAAAAUUAGUAUUAUAUAUGUAUAUAUAUAUAUAUAUAUAUAUAUAUAUAGAAAGGUAAAAUAAAAGAAUUCGGCAAAUAUAUUUUUCACCUGUUUAUUAAAAACAUCUCUUUUUGAUUUUAAUUUAAAGUAGGGCCUGCCCACUGAAUUUUUAAAGGGCCGCAGUAUUUUGACUGUGCAAAGGUAGCAUAAUCAUUAGUUUUUUAAUUGAAAGCUUGUAUGAAUGGUUUGAUGAGAAAAUAGCUUUUUUUAUUUUAAUUUUUAAGAAUUUUAUUUUUAAGUUAAAAAGCUUAAAUUUUUAUAAUAGACGAGAAGACCCUAUAGAGUUUAAUUAUUAAUUAUUUUUAUAUUUUUAGAAUUUUAAUUUAUAAAUUUGAUUUAAUAAUUUAAUUGGGGUGAUUGAAAAAUUAAAUAAACUUUUUUUUUAUUUUUACAUUGAUGUAUGAUUUUAUGAUCCAUAAAAAUGAUUAAAAGAUUAAAUUACCUUAGGGAUAACAGCGUUAUUUUUUUUUAGAGUUCAAAUCGAAAAAAGAGAUUGCGACCUCGAUGUUGGAUUAAAGUUUAUAUUAGGAGGAGAAUUUUAAUUAUUUGGUCUGUUCGACCAUUAAAACUUUACAUGAUCUGAGUUUAAACCGGUGUGAGCCAGGUUGGUUUCUAUCUUUAUAUAAUUACUAAUUUUUAGUACGAAAGGACCAAGAUUAGGAUUAUUAAUUUUUUAAAUGAAUAAGAUUAUUAUUUUGGCAGAUUAGUGCGUUAGAUUUAGAAUCUUUUUAUGUAUAAAAUACAAA
RNAcentral lists this ribosomal RNA (1359 nucleotides) under Cheilomenes sexmaculata. RNAcentral describes it as "16S ribosomal RNA". Lineage: Eukaryota; Metazoa; Arthropoda; Insecta; Coleoptera; Coccinellidae. The record is from RNAcentral.